GAUGAACGCUGGCGGCGUGCUUAACACAUGCAAGUCGAACGGAAAGGCCCAAGCUUGCUUGGGUACUCGAGUGGCGAACGGGUGAGUAACACGUGGGUGAUCUGCCCUGCACUUCGGGAUAAGCCUGGGAAACUGGGUCUAAUACCGGAUAGGACCACUUCUUGGAUGUUGUGGUGGAAAGUUUUUUCGGUGUGGGAUGAGCUCGCGGCCUAUCAGUUUGUUGGUGGGGUAAUGGCCUACCAAGGCGUCGACGGGUAGCCGGCCUGAGAGGGUGUACGGCCACAUUGGGACUGAGGUACGGCCCAGACGCCUACGGGAGGCAGCAGUGGGGAAGAUUGCACAAUGGGCGCAGGCCUGAUGCAGCGACGCCGCGUGGGGGAUGACGGCCUUCGGGUUGUAGACUCCUUUCGCUAGGGACGAAGCGUUUUGUGACGGUACCUGGAGAAGAAGCACCGGCUAACUACGUG
Molecule: ribosomal RNA, 467 nt
Filed under: uncultured bacterium
Lineage: Bacteria
Description: partial 16S ribosomal RNA
Rfam family: Bacterial small subunit ribosomal RNA
Source: RNAcentral